Molecule: ribosomal RNA, 497 nt
Filed under: uncultured bacterium
Lineage: Bacteria
Description: partial 16S ribosomal RNA
Rfam family: Bacterial small subunit ribosomal RNA
Source: RNAcentral
GAUGAACGCUGGCGGCGUGCCUAAUACAUGCAAGUCGAGCGAACAGACGAGGAGCUUGCUCCUCUGACGUUAGCGGCGGACGGGUGAGUAACACGUGGAUAACCUACCUAUAAGACUGGGAUAACUUCGGGAAACCGGAGCUAAUACCGGAUAAUAUAUUGAACCGCAUGGUUCAAUAGUGAAAGACGGUUUUGCUGUCACUUAUAGAUGGAUCCGCGCCGCAUUAGCUAGUUGGUAAGGUAACGGCUUACCAAGGCAACGAUGCGUAGCCGACCUGAGAGGGUGAUCGGCCACACUGGAACUGAGACACGGUCCAGACUCCUACGGGAGGCAGCAGUAGGGAAUCUUCCGCGAUGGGCGAAAGCUUGACGGAGCAACGCCGCGUGAGUGAUGAAGGUCUUCGGAUCGUAAAACUCUGUUAUUAGGGAAGAACAAAUGUGUAAGUAACUAUGCACGUCUUGACGGUACCUAAUCAGAAAGCCACGGCUAACUACGUG